AUUGAACGCUGGCGGCAGGCUUAACACAUGCAAGUCGAGCGGGGGAAGGUAGCUUGCUACCGGACCUAGCGGCGGACGGGUGAGUAAUGCUUAGGAAUCUGCCUAUUAGUGGGGGACAACAUCUCGAAAGGGAUGCUAAUACCGCAUACGUCCUACGGGAGAAAGCAGGGGAUCUUCGGACCUUGCGCUAAUAGAUGAGCCUAAGUCGGAUUAGUUAGUUGGUGGGGUAAAGGCCUACCAAGGCGACGAUCUGUAGCGGGUCUGAUAGGAUGGUCCGCCACACUGGGGCUGAGACGCGGCCCAGACUCCUACGGGAGGCAGCAGUGGUGAAUAUUGGACAAUGGGGGGAACCCUGAUCCAGCCAUGCCGCGUGUGUGAAGAAGGCCUUAUGGUUGUAAAGCACUUUAAGCGAGGAGGAGGCUACUUUAGUUAAUACCUAGAGAUAGUGGACGUUACUCGCAGAAUAAGCACCGGCUAACUCUGUGCCAGCAGCCGCCGUAA
RNAcentral lists this ribosomal RNA (501 nucleotides) under uncultured bacterium. RNAcentral's name for it is "partial 16S ribosomal RNA". It matches the Rfam family "Bacterial small subunit ribosomal RNA", at positions 30 to 523 of the family's 1533-position model. The record is from RNAcentral.